AGAGGACUGAGAGAUAAGGCUGGAAAAUUCAGUCGGGACCAGAUUAUAGAAGGUCUUAAAUGUCAGUAUAAGCAACUGGGACUUGACUACAUAAGAACUGGGAUUUGCUAAAGACCUCUGCCCUUGGAACUGACCUGAGUUGAAGAGGGACAACGGGGGUGCAGAGCCCCGGUGCUACUCGACGGAUGUGAAACACCAGCAGGGUGUAAAGUCCCCGCCACCUUUGCCCGAACCACUCCACGGUCCUCUGGCCACUUGCGGGAGGACGGUCCUUCAGAUGGGGGCGGCUGUAGGAGCACCCUGGACCAGUUCCGAAGUCCCUUCAGAGCCCUCCAGGUGAAAUGGUCGUGUUGUUGUGCAGAACAAGCCCUUUUCAACUACAGGUGGGCUCCAUGCUGGGUAUGAACUCAUGGGGCUUGAACUCACAACCCUGAGAUCAAGACUUGAGCUGAGAUCAAGAGUUGGACACUCAACAGCCGCCCGGACGCUCAUGUAAAAUGUUCUCCAGAGUCUCCGAGCUGCUCUAGCAAAUUAAGUAAGCCCGAGGAGGAGGUUAUGGGCCCCUCCGAUCUACGGCAGAUGGAAGCCGGGGUGACAGCCUGGGCUCAUGACCGGUGUCUGAAGUAAGAGUGGGAGCAAUCCUGCAGGGCUGAACCCUUGGCCUGUGGGAUCUGAAGUGAUGUCCGGGUACCAUCUUCACUAUAUGAAUUUGGGGAGGACGCCAACACUCGGGCCGCAGCGCGAGGCAAGACGGAUCUGUCUCCCUUGGGGAGUCGAUGAAUUAUUUUCACUGGCAUGAGGGUCCUGGCGUCAGAGGCCACCACUCAUCUUCCAGCCCUCUGAUCCACCUGAUCCGAGCCUGCUCAAUCCCUUUACCAACAAAUGCGGGACGUGGGUGAUGCUAUUGUCGCCAGUCGUGAGGGGCCUGGGCUGUGAGAGACUCCACGGGCCUCUGAGGCCUCGGCGGAAGCCUAGCUCAGCUGGCGGCUCUAAGGACUGGCCCCAGAUUUGCCCUCGGUCCGCGGUUCUCAACCCUGAACCCCGGCUGCUCACGGAGUAACAGAAUUACCUGGGGGGGGGGUUGGGGGAGGCUGGUGCCGGUUGGGAAAAUACCAAAGCCCUAGUCCACCCGCAGAAUCGGAUGUGGCGGCUCUGGAGCAGGGGCUGAAGCUUCGGUUUGCUCUAAUGUGCAGCCUUCAGGGUGUAGGCGGCCGCCCCACAGGGGCCUGCGCCAGUUGCCCACCAUCCACCAGGAGCUUUGUCUUUUGACAUCAGCUUUGAUGCGGGGUUAUAUUUGCCAAGAGGCCAAACAAUAGUAAGCUUUAAAAAGUUGUUUGAGGGCAGCCCGGGUGGCUCAGUGGUUUGGAGCCUGCCUUUGGUCCAGGGCGUGACCCCGGGGUCCCAGGAUCGAGUCCCCCAUUGGGCUCCCUGCAUGGAGCCUGCUUCUCACUCUGCCUGGGUCUGUCUCUCUCUCUCCAUCUCUCACGAAUGAAUAAAUAAAAUCAUUAAAAAAUAUUUUAAAGAAAGUUCUUUGAAUCACCUAGGAGAAAACAAACAUCAUUCUAUCUAAAAACAAAACAUUGCCGACCGAAGUACCAAUGUGCACAGGAGCAUUUUCCACAACCGCCCACAGGUGGAACCGCCGGAAUGUCCAUCAGCAGGAGAUGCCUACGGCCCGCAAACCCACGGAGGCGGAAAAUAGAAGUUUCCAGGAACUGAUGGUCAAAAGGAAUGGUUGAUCGGUGCUUAGCAGGGCUGAUGCUUCUGAGUGAAGAUCCAGGCUACUCUGCUGUCGUCAGGCUUCUACCACUCGCAGUAAAAAGCUGAGUCGGCAAUAGUGGAAGGAAAUCCCAUUUAACAAAGGUUUUUAGAAGGCUUCAGCAGUCUGAAGUCCAUAUAAGAUGAUUGUCAUUGCAGGACGUUUUUUCAGGUUUCUUUCUUUCUUCUUCUUUUUUUAAUAGCAGUAAGUAUGUUCAAGUCUAGUAAAGGAAAAAUAUAAUGCUUUCUCUGGAAUUUAUCUUUCUGAAAACAUUGAAGUCAGACUUAAUGUCUGAAAAUACAAAUAAUGAUCUCAUCAACCUAAUCUGGAACUAUGGAUUGACUAUGGUUUUUUAGCUACAAGGGUAGGAAGUGUGUAGU
Molecule: long non-coding RNA, 2139 nt
Organism: Canis lupus familiaris (dog)
Lineage: Eukaryota; Metazoa; Chordata; Mammalia; Carnivora; Canidae
Exons: 7
Source: RefSeq, a predicted model, not a curated record